GUGGGGAAUAUUGGACAAUGGGCGAAAGCCUGAUCCAGCCAUGCCGCGUGUGUGAAGAAGGUCUUCGGAUUGUAAAGCACUUUAAGUUGGGAGGAAGGGCAGUAAGUUAAUACCUUGCUGUUUUGACGUUACCGACAGAAUAAGCACCGGCUAACUUCGUGCCAGCAGCCGCGGUAAUACGAAGGGUGCAAGCGUUAAUCGGAAUUACUGGGCGUACAGCGCGCGUAGGUGGCUUUGUAAGUUGGAGGUGAAAUCCCCAGGCUCAACCGGGGAACUGCCUCCAAAAGUGCAUGGCUAGAGUACAGUAGAGGGUAGUGGAAUUUCCGGUGUAGCGGUGAAAUGCGUAGAUAUAGGAAGGAACGCCAGUGGCGAAGGCGACUACCUGGACUGAUACUGACACUGUGGUGCGAAAGCGUGGGGAGCAAACAGGAUUAGAUACCCGAGUAGUCC
RNAcentral lists this ribosomal RNA (450 nucleotides) under uncultured bacterium. RNAcentral describes it as "partial 16S ribosomal RNA". It matches the Rfam family "Bacterial small subunit ribosomal RNA", at positions 354 to 796 of the family's 1533-position model. The record is from RNAcentral.